CCUACGGGUGGCAGCAGUGGGGAAUAUUGGGCAAUGGGCGCAAGCCUGACCCAGCAACGCCGCGUGAAGGAAGACGGCUUUCGGGUUGUAAACUUCUUUUCGCAGGGACGAAGAAAGUGACGGUACCUGAGGAAUAAGCCACGGCCAAAUACGUGCCCGCAGCCGCGGGAAUACGUAUGUGGCAAGCGUUCUCCGGAUUUACUGGGUGUAAGGGGCGGGUAGGCGGGACUGCAAGUCAGAUGGGAAAGCCACGGGCUCAACCUGUGGACUGCAGUUGAAACUGUAGUUCUUGAGUACUGGAGAGGCAGACGGAAUGCCUAGUGUAGCGGUGAAAUGCGUAGAUAUUAGGAGGAACACCAGUGGCGAAGGCGGUCUGCUGGACAGCAACUGACGCUGAGGCGCGAAAGCGUGGGGAGCAAACAGGAUUAGAUACCCCUGUAGUC
RNAcentral lists this ribosomal RNA (443 nucleotides) under uncultured bacterium. Its description in RNAcentral is "partial 16S ribosomal RNA". It matches the Rfam family "Bacterial small subunit ribosomal RNA", at positions 338 to 795 of the family's 1533-position model. The record is from RNAcentral.